CAGGGAGGGAGGGAGCGCGGGGCGGCGCGCGCCCUCUGGUGGAGCGCGCGGGGAGCAGGCCGGGCUCUCCCGGUGCGGUUAAACGAACGGUAACACGCACUGCUCGUCCGCCGCUCUGCUUCCUCUCGACAUCCUUUGGCUGUUUUCAUCGCUCGUGUUUAUUUCCGACUACCAUCAAGAGUAGUAGCUCGUGACAGCCUUAAGCAUCUCGGUAAAAAUAAGAUUUUUCUAGCCGAUACCAUACAAGGCAACACUCUACAUAAAAAGGCAAUGGCUAAACCGAGACAAAGUAACUUACAGACCCCAGAAGCCAAGCAGGAGCUGCAUUACAACCUGAAAAAGGGCCUGCACAUCUGAGGCCUGGCACGGAUCAAGAAAACGUACCCAUGAGGUGACAGAGUAGAGUUUUCUUGUUGGGUUUUGGCAAAGGGAAGAAAUAAAUAUUUUUUAAACAGUGACGUAACUUGGACUUCUCCCACUUGAGACAAAACUUGAGAACUUGCUGCGAAGUCUGGGGGAGAAAUUACAUGAAGGAGGAGGAUUCCACCUCUAAUAUCAGCCCUGGAAGGAAGUGAUAAUCCUGCCAGCAUUAGCAGCCUGGACAUCUGGAAAAACGUGACUCUUAAUAUCCAGAGCUGCCUUUGCUGUUCUGACCACAGCUUGCCACUCUGAUCCUCUGAUCUCUUGACAGUGGUUCUGAUCCCACUGCCAGCGAGAAACAGUGCCUGCUGCAUGUGAGGAUGGGGGAUAAAGAGACGGCUUGGUAGACUGUCAUUGGAAGAUCAUGAGAUGGGAUCUCCAUAUUUUAUGGUUAUCUAGAGAAUGAAUCUGAUCUCAAUUUAUCAGGAUUACUUAACCUCAGUGGCAUGAGUUUUCUCGUAGGUGAGUUUGGAGCUAAGAAGGAUCUCCAUUAGCUUGACUAGUAAAAAUAUGUUGGUUAAUGGAUUCUACUAGACAUUCACAUUUAGAUUGAUUACUCUGUUAUACUGUUAUGAAGUACAAAAAAUUUGCCACCCAUUCUCCGCCUCAGAAGCACACAUCUGUGUUCAAUAGCAAUCACUAUCAAGGAAGUU
RNAcentral lists this long non-coding RNA (1073 nucleotides) under Macaca mulatta (Rhesus monkey). RNAcentral describes it as "lncRNA (ENSMMUG00000062761.1)". Lineage: Eukaryota; Metazoa; Chordata; Mammalia; Primates; Cercopithecidae. The record is from RNAcentral.